UGCAGGACAUACGAGCCAUCUUGUCCAAACGGAGAGAGGGGGAGGAGCUUAUAAAGGAGAUGGAGGAAGGGUGCAUCAGCUACAAUUCACGAAAAUUGAUAGUGAACACAUUGGUCUCACACCUGAUAGAGACAUAUACAAAGUGGCCUAAAACAGAGCAAAAAUUGGCAAUGGCAAAAUGCAUUGUUACCCAGUUUCCUGCGUUGGACAAUGAUGAUCAUGAUGCUUACUUGACCUGGUUCACUCCAGCAAGCCAAAACAAAACAAAAGAUUCAUCAGGUUACAUUGAAAUGCGGCUAAGGAACGUCAGAUAUCGUGAUC
Long non-coding RNA from Lytechinus pictus (painted urchin), 321 nucleotides. RefSeq lists it as uncharacterized. The transcript has 3 exons. Lineage: Eukaryota; Metazoa; Echinodermata; Echinoidea; Temnopleuroida; Toxopneustidae. The record is from RefSeq and is a predicted model, not a curated record.